UGAAGGUUCGCAUAGCCGCGAUUAAUUGGGAACAGGGGUGUGAAUCCCCGACUGUCCCGCAGCAGUGAACUCCGUUCUAACUGACCGACACGAUGUCAUUGUCCGUAAGGAUGAGAAGACGUCGGAAAGUGGAGUAAGUCUGAAGACCAGCCUUUUCGGUUA
This 162-nucleotide non-coding RNA is filed under the name bovine gut metagenome. The record is from RNAcentral.